Callithrix jacchus (white-tufted-ear marmoset) is the source of this 1136-nucleotide non-coding RNA. Lineage: Eukaryota; Metazoa; Chordata; Mammalia; Primates; Cebidae. The record is from the annotation of a RefSeq genome assembly.
UGUUGGAUGUGUCGUGUAUCUUCUUUCUCACUCUCAGUCAGGCUUUGAGCUAUGAAAUAAUCUGUCUCAUGAAUAUACAAAUAAUGUGAGGUCUACUGAAGUACAUAUGGGAAUGUCUGGGCCCCGAGAGCAUCACCAACAACCACGUCCCUCCUCUAGAGCAGCCCCUGAGUGUAAAUCUCUUCACCAUGGACUGGACCUGGAGGAUCUUCUGCUUGCUGGCAGCAGCUGCAGGUGCCCACUCCCAGGUGCAGUUGGUGCAGUCUGGGGCUGAGGUGAAGAAGCCUGGGGCCUCCGUGAAGGUCUCCUGCAAGGCUUCCGGAUACACCUUCACCAACUACUACAUGCAGUGGGUGCGACAGGCCCCUGGACAAGGGCUUGAGUGGAUGGCAGAGAUCAACCCUAGUAGUGGUAGCACAAACUAUGCACAGAAGUUCCAGGGAAGAGUCACCAUGACCAGGGACACGUCCACGAGCACAGCCUACAUGGAGCUGAGCAUCCUGAGACCUGAGGACACGGCCGUGUAUUACUGUGCGAGAGACACAGUGUGAAAACCACAUCCUGAGAGUGUCAGAAACCCCAGGGAGGAGACAGCUGUGCUGGGGCUGAGGCAGUGAAAGGGAUUAUUAGAUUGAAGACUUUCCUAGAAAGAGAGGUCCAUUCAUGAAGAAAGGGGACCAUAAAAUUUGUAUGCACUGUAAUUACUUGGGAAACUCUCCAUACAACACUUAUUCUGUAGGCAAAAUUCAGGGAGCGGAAAAUAAAUUAGAUUAAUAAAACAUAGAAGAAUUCCUCUGAAGACAUUAGUGUGAACAUCAGUUUUUGAAUUGGUAUUUUUAAUAUUUUGGAACAGAGCUGCUAGAUCACAUUUUAAUUCUACUUUUAUCUUCAUUGUAUGAAGUGUCCAAAUAUUUCAUCAUAUUUUGUGCAGUUCUGAUUUUGGAUUUACACCAGAAAUGCACGAGAGACCGAGUUCUUCCACAUCCUCAUUGCCACUUGGCAUCAUGAGAACUGUGGAUUUAAACCACUCUAAUAAAAUAGUACUGAUAUCUCCUUCUUGUUUAAAUGCACCUGUCCCGAAUUAACAUUUUAUAUUUAAAUAUGUUUAGGCAAUUUGGAUGAAGUGUCUGUUUUGA